GACGAACGCUGGCGGCGUGCUUAACACAUGCAAGUCGAGCGGUGAAGCACCUUCGGGUGUGAAUUAGCGGCGAACGGGUGAGGAACACGUGAAGAAUCUGCCUUCAACUCUGGGAUAACUCCGGGAAACCGGGGCUAAUACCGGAUAUGAGCCUUGAUCGCAUGAUCGGGGCUGGAAAGUUUUUCGGUUGAAGAUGACUUCGCGGCCUAUCAGCUUGUUGGUGAGGUAAUGGCUCACCAAGGCGACGACGGGUAGCCGGCCUGAGAGGGCGACCGGCCACACUGGGACUGAGAAACGGCCCAGACUCCUACGGGAGGCAGCAGUGGGGAAUAUUGGGCAAUGGAGGAAACUCUGACCCAGCGACGCCGCGUGAGGGAUGAAGGCCUUCGGGUUGUAAACCUCUUUCAGUAGGGAAGAAGCGAAAGUGACGGUACCUACAGAAGAAGCACCGGCUAACUAUGUGCCAGCAGCCGCGGUAA
RNAcentral lists this ribosomal RNA (479 nucleotides) under uncultured bacterium. RNAcentral describes it as "partial 16S ribosomal RNA". It matches the Rfam family "Bacterial small subunit ribosomal RNA", at positions 28 to 523 of the family's 1533-position model. The record is from RNAcentral.